CACCGCCCGUCACAUCAUGAAAGCCGGUUGUACCCGAAGUCGCCGUGCUAACCCGCAAGGGAGGCAGGUGCCGAAGGUAUGGCUGGUGAUUGGGAUGAAGUCGUAACAAGGUACCC
Molecule: ribosomal RNA, 116 nt
Filed under: uncultured bacterium
Lineage: Bacteria
Description: partial 16S ribosomal RNA
Rfam family: Bacterial small subunit ribosomal RNA
Source: RNAcentral